RNAcentral lists this ribosomal RNA (468 nucleotides) under uncultured bacterium. Its description in RNAcentral is "partial 16S ribosomal RNA". It matches the Rfam family "Bacterial small subunit ribosomal RNA", at positions 28 to 507 of the family's 1533-position model. The record is from RNAcentral.
GACGAACGCUGGCGGCGUGCUUAACACAUGCAAGUCGAACGGAAAGGUCAUGCUUUUGUGGGGUGCUCGAGUGGCGCACGGGUGAGUAAAACGUGAGUAUCCUGCCCUUGACUUUGGGAUAAAUUCAGGAAACUGGGGAUAAUACAGGAUAGGAGCUCCUGCUGCAUGGUGGGGGUUGGAAAGUUUCGGCGGUUUGGGAUGGACUCGAGGCUUAUCAGCUUGUUGGUGAGGUAGUGGCUUACCAAGGCUUAGACGGGUAGCCCGCCUGAGAGCGUGACCGGCCACCAUGGUACUGCGAGACGCCGCAGACGCCUACGGGACGCAGCAGUCGGGAAUAUUGCACAGUGAGCGGAAGCCUGAUGUAGCAACGCUCCGUUCGUGAUAACGGGCUUCUGGGUGUAAACCGCUUUCGACGGUGCCGAAGAGUGAGUGACGGUAAUGGGUAAAGAAGCACCGGCUAACUACGUG